ACUCUCCGUUUCAAUUUUCUUCAGAUGAGAAGUUUCAUCAUAAAGAAGGGGAAGUCCUGAGCUCAGUUCUAAAAGGACGCCCAAAAGAAAGAAAUUAAAAAACACAGUCUGAAGGGAGGCUACAGAAGAACUGCAGAGCAAGACACUCAACUGCAUUUGAAGAGACAGCGGUCGGCAAAGCAUCUUCUCUGUUGAAGAGACAUCUUCUGCAGCGCUCAUCCAGUGGAAUAGAAAAUCACAGUUUACAUCACCAGGCCAUAAUAUAUGCUUUGUUGCCAUCCACAGCGUGAGAAAAAAAUCCUCCUCUUGGUCAGUUUGCAUAUGAGUUCAACGAUAAAUGCAUGCAGAAGGACUUAAUUCUUUCCUUUAAGCAUACAAACCCCUGACUGCCAGCUUUAGAAAUGCAUUAUAAAACCUGAUCCCUUUGUUCACUUUGCCUGUGACUCACAUCAGCUAGAGAAAAAUAGCUGAAAAUGAAAGUUUGAAGAAAAAGCCCACACUAAAACAAUAUAUUGAAAAUGACAACACUUUCAGUAUUGUAUUUCAGGUAUCAUAUUUCAGUAUUCAAUAUUAGUCAUUCGUUUGCAUGGCAGGGCCUGGCUGGGGCUGAAAAGUGAUAUAUUUCAGCUGGUGUUACAGAUGUGGUGUCACAGUGUCACCAGCUUUUCAAUUCCCCCAGCAGUUCCUGGGGGAGAAGACAUAGGAUUACAGUUAUUAUAAGGUAAUCCCCCUCCAAAUCCAACUACACAGAGUGCAGAGCCAGGCUUGAGCCCUGCCAGGGAAGAACUGGUUUCCAGCUUUAUUAAAUACAGGAGGAAGGUGUGCAGAGAGAUGAUCAAAAGAUACCCUCGGCCAGGUUGUAUCAAUUAAUUCUCCAGCACAUGGAAGAAGCAAUUCCAUGCUGGACUUCAGAUGAGUGUAAUUUCUCCACUGCCUAUCACUACACUCACACUUCCCCUCCAUCCCCCCCAGGCUGAUGCAAGGAUAGUGUUUAUCACCUGUAAUCAGAUUACAGAAGUUUCCAAGUGUAUGCUGGACUUGUAAAAAGAAGGUUUCACACAAUGAACACACUUCAGAGCAGGGUGGAGAAAGUUUGCACAUGCAGUUCAAUGGGUACCCCUGAGAACAUGUUUCAUUUGGAUUAAGAAGGUGGUACCUCCUUUAGGCAACUUUCAAAAGGUUUUUCUAAAAAAACCAAACUUCCCUGUGUAUAUUUAGAACACAUUUAAAAUGUGUUGACAUAGAAUGACUCUGUAACAUGAUCUUUGGUAAAAACGGUGCAUUUCCUCAUGAGGAGCUCCUAGUUAAAGUACCACAGGAGUGUAUAGACACUCACAUACCAGGGCCAUCAAGUUCCUACAUUGAGUUUGUGCCUAUAAACUACCAGAGGAUUCCUAUAGCAGUACAAAUUUAAGAUGUAGUAUUGAUUUAUAUUGCCAGAGCUUUCCCAAUAGUUUAAACAAAACUUGCUGCUAUGUUUAACAACAGACUUAACCAAACAUUUUCCACUUUUCUUCUCUCUCCCUUCCCUAAUGUAAUCUGGUUUCAGAUGCAGUGUUUUGUGUUGCUUCAAACAAAAAAUUGUAAUCUUAGCAUCACAAGACCUGUAUUACUUGUUAAAAACAAACUGUUGUGAGUUACGUCUGUGCUACUUUUAGGAAAAAAAAAUCCCAAUGUGCUUUUUUAUCUUUAAAGUAACUCUUUUAUACAACCCUGUCCAGACAGAGACCACCCAUAUCCACCUUUGUUCAGGUGAUGUAAGCUGCACAGGUCACAGCAGUGCUGGGGUCAGAGAGGACACAGGUAGAUAUGUUCCCUCUUCCCAAGUGCAUCCUAGCCCAUGUGCUACAAGAAGUCAACUACACCUAUAGGAAGGAAGGACAGAGACAUUGAUGCCUUCUUACCUAGCUGAUUGCUCCGUGACUUGGCUGGUUCAGAUUUCUGCAGACAGCAGGGAGGAUGAGGGAUGAGCAAGUGAAAAGGGAGUGCAGAAGGUGUGGGCUCCUUCUCCAGAGAAGCAGAAUGAUAAGUGCUUCCCUCGAGGCGACACACACGAACUGCAGAACACACAAGGCCCACAGGUUGUUCUUCACCAAUGUGCCUGAAGCAUUUUAACACGUACAGGACCCAGUUAGGCCUUGUGCUGUCUUUUCUUGCAGUCUGUCAGGGAAUGGAUCCCUCCUUCAGUGCCCCUUCAGCAACAAACCAAACCACACAUAACAACACAGGAUGAGGUGGAACACUGGCAACAAACCACAGGGAAGCUGACAAGGUUGUAUGACAAGAAAGAUACUGUAUUAUGAAUGUAGGUGUGUAAAUAAUAAAGCACCAAUGCGAGUAUUCAAAAAACCCUCCUCCAGAAUGCUUCCAGAGCAGCAGCUAAACUAGAUUUUUGUUCCAGUGGCUCCAACAAAGUUUCUCUUUCUUCCUUUCUUAAAUAAAAUGUUGCUGAAAUAGAGGACGACUGGUCUGGGGAAACCAAAGUCAGCUUCUGUGAUUACACACCUUAGAUUUACUCUGGCAUUUUCACAUCUCAGUGCACAAUUGCUUUAUUGUCUUCCCCUCUCUACAGAUUGUACUGGAAACUUCGAUCCACCACAGCAUUAGUAACUACGGGGGAAAUCAGGUACAAGCAUAUAUAUACACACUCCCCCAAAAUCUUUCAAAAAUAAAUAAUGCAUCAUAACCAGAUCAACAAGGUUGACAUUUUUUAUUUGUACUUAGCACAUACAGGAAAGAUCAAAACAAAUAAUAAAAGAUAGCAUUUGUAAACAAAUGUAUUUCACAAAAAGUUAUAAACUACCAAAUUUGCUCUGAAAAAAUUCAUUAUAGCCAUUUAGAAAUGUGUAUUUAUCAAAAUCAAGUUAAAAACUACUUCAUUUUGAAAACAUUCCAAAUGAAGAUUCAUUCAUUCCAACAACUUCAGAGACACCACAAAUGUAAGGCCUAACAAAUGCACGAGUGAAGAUGGCACUGUGAUUUUUGGUUUAAAGAUAACAAAAAAGUCUGCAAGUGAUCAAAAUACCAGCCAGUCUCAUUCAAAGUCCUAGGUCUGUAAAAUAUACAUUCAACUUCGCAAAUACCUAACUU
This is a long non-coding RNA of Corvus hawaiiensis (hawaiian crow), 3090 nucleotides long. RefSeq lists it as uncharacterized. The record is from RefSeq and is a predicted model, not a curated record. The transcript has 2 exons. Lineage: Eukaryota; Metazoa; Chordata; Aves; Passeriformes; Corvidae.